ACGGAGGGGGCGAGCGUUGUCCGAAGUUACUGGGCGUAAAGGGCGCGUAGGCGGCGUGGCAAGUCACUUGUGAAAUCUCCGGGCUUAACUCGGAACGGCCAAGUGAAACUGCCAUGCUAGAGUGCAGAAGGGGCAAUCGGAAUUCUUGGUGUAGCGGUGAUAUGCGUAGAUAUCAAGAGGAACACCUGAGGUGAAGACGGGUUGCUGGGCUGACACUGACGCUGAGGCGCGAAAGCCAGGGGAGCAAACGGGA
RNAcentral lists this ribosomal RNA (253 nucleotides) under uncultured prokaryote. RNAcentral's name for it is "partial 16S ribosomal RNA". It matches the Rfam family "Bacterial small subunit ribosomal RNA", at positions 525 to 777 of the family's 1533-position model. The record is from RNAcentral.